CAAGUCGCACGAGAAAGCGGGAGCAAUCUCGCAAGUACAGUGGCGUACGGGUGAGUAACACGUGGAUUAUCUGCCCUGGAGUGGGGAAUAACGCUGGGAAACCGGCGCUAAUACCGCAUAUUCCCGAGAGGGGAAAGCAGCAAUGCGCUCGAGGAGGAGUCCGCGGCCGAUUAGCUAGUUGGCAGGGUAAAAGCCUACCAAGGCUGUGAUCGGUAGCCGGCCUGAGAGGGCACACGGCCACACUGGCACUGAAACACGGGCCAGACUCCUACGGGAGGCAGCAGUGGGGAAUCUUGCACAAUGGGGGAAACCCUGAUGCAGCGACGCCGCGUGAGCGAUGAAGCCCUUCGGGGUGUAAAGCUCUUUCGGCAGGGAAGAUUAUGACGGUACCUGCAGAAGCAGCUGCGGCUAACUACGUGCCAGCAGCCGCGGUAAUACGUAGGCAGCAAGCGUUGUUCGGAGUUACUGGGCGUAAAGGGUGUGUAGGCGGCCUGUUAAGUUCCGUGUGAAAUCUCCCGGCUCAACCGGGAGGGUGCGCGGAAAACUGGCGGGCUAGAGUGCGGGAUGGGAGAGUAGAAUUCCUGGUGUAGCGGUGAAAUGCGUAGAUAUCAGGAGGAAUACCGGUGGUGUAGACGGCUCUCUGGACCGCAACUGACGCUGAAACACGAAAGCGUGGGUAGCAAACAGGAUUAGAUACCCUGGUAGUCCACGCCCUAAACGAUGCAUAUUUGGUGUAGGUCAUUCAGUUGAUCUGUGCCGGAGCUAACGCGUUAAAUAUGCCGCCGGGGGAGUACAGUCGCAAGGCUGAAACUCAAAGGAAUUGACGGGGGCCCGCACAAGCGGUGGAGCAUGUGGUUCAAUUCGAC
RNAcentral lists this ribosomal RNA (866 nucleotides) under uncultured Bacillota bacterium. RNAcentral's name for it is "bacterial SSU rRNA". It matches the Rfam family "Bacterial small subunit ribosomal RNA", at positions 58 to 955 of the family's 1533-position model. Lineage: Bacteria; Bacillati; Bacillota. The record is from RNAcentral.